CGGGCUAUUAGCUCAGUGGUAGAGCGCGCCCCUGAUAA
Molecule: transfer RNA, 38 nt
Filed under: Oenothera argillicola (Appalachian evening primrose)
Lineage: Eukaryota; Viridiplantae; Streptophyta; Magnoliopsida; Myrtales; Onagraceae
Also listed under: 8 other names
Description: partial tRNA-Ile
Source: RNAcentral